CCGCCGGGGCGGACUUAUGGCAGUGUGGACAGUACUUACCCCUGCUGGGGCGGGCCAAUAUCGAAGGGAACCCCCGCUGGGGCGGGGUAUGCAGCAGCUGAAGGUUUUUCACUCGUGAGAAGGAUUUGGUGCAAGAAAUAAUUAAAGCAGCAAGCGCGAGUGGGUCGGCUGAAAUCCUUUUCCGACUUGGAUUGUGACGCAAGCUGAAGCUGAUAAAAAAGGGCUACUCACAUAUGGAUUAGACUGGACCAGAUAUAAAAUAGGAGACGGAGUAGCUUAAGGAGGGGACUUGAUACGAUGACAUGCACGUGACCUGAUAAAAAAGGACCUUAGGAGGGAUAUAAUUUAUAUUCAAUUAGGAUUGAACUUGGGCCUUUUUCGAGAAGGAGUCGGACGUGACCUGCUAGAGAAGGAGAGUUUCCUCCAGCAAGUAUAUAUAUAUAUGAGAUAGGCGGGAGCAGCUUGAAAAGAAGGAAAGGAAAUGAAUGGAGAACAACUUAUAUAUAUAUAUAUAUAUAUUAGUAUAGUAUUAGUGGGAUUAUUAUAUAAAGAUUAGUUUAGUUUAGUUUUCAAUAAAAUAAACAAGCCCUAGUUGAAAGGGGAUUUGGUGAUUGAAGCACUUGGAAGCCAUUGAAGAUCCAAAUGAAGUGCAAGGAGGACAAAUUUGCCGACAACAGAUUCAAUUCUUUUCUUUAAUCUUAUUCUUAUCUUUUAAUGUAUAUUCAAUUGUGGAUUCUUAGUUUUAAUUCAAUGAACUAAUUCUUUGGUUAAGA
RNAcentral lists this long non-coding RNA (773 nucleotides) under Panax ginseng (ginseng). Its description in RNAcentral is "long non-coding RNA (PGIN_LNC012028)". Lineage: Eukaryota; Viridiplantae; Streptophyta; Magnoliopsida; Apiales; Araliaceae. The record is from RNAcentral.